GAUGAACGCUGGCGGCGUGCCUAAUACAUGCAAGUCGAGCGAACAGACGAGGAGCUUGCUCCUCUGACGUUAGCGGCGGACGGGUGAGUAACACGUGGAUAACCUACCUAUAAGACUGGGAUAACUUCGGGAAACCGGAGCUAAUACCGGAUAAUAUAUUGAACCGCAUGGUUCAAUAGUGAAAGACGGUUUUGCUGUCACUUAUAGAUGGAUCCGCGCCGCAUUAGCUAGUUGGUAAGGUAACGGCUUACCAAGGCAACGAUGCGUAGCCGACCUGAGAGGGUGAUCGGCCACACUGGAACGAAGACACGGUCCAGACUCCUACGGGAGGCAGCAGUAGGGAAUCUUCCGCAAUGGGCGAAAGCCUGACGGAGCAACGCCGCGUGAGUGAUGAAGGUCUUCGGAUCGUAAAACUCUGUUAUUAGGGAAGAACAAAUGUGUAAGUAACUAUGCACGUCUUGACGGUACCUAAUCAGAAAGCCACGGCUAACUACGUG
RNAcentral lists this ribosomal RNA (497 nucleotides) under uncultured bacterium. RNAcentral's name for it is "partial 16S ribosomal RNA". It matches the Rfam family "Bacterial small subunit ribosomal RNA", at positions 28 to 507 of the family's 1533-position model. The record is from RNAcentral.